UGGUGGGGUGACUUGUCUGCUUAAUUGCGAUAACGAACGAGACCUUAACCUGCUAAAUAGCCCGCAUUGCUCCGGCAGUGCGCUGGCUUCUCAGAGGGACUUUCGGCUCAAGCCGAAGGAAGUUUGAGGCAAUAACA
Molecule: ribosomal RNA, 137 nt
Filed under: uncultured eukaryote
Lineage: Eukaryota
Description: partial 18S ribosomal RNA
Rfam family: Eukaryotic small subunit ribosomal RNA
Source: RNAcentral